UACGAACUGUGCAAACGUUAUUCGGAAUCACUGGGCUUAAAGGGUGCGUAGGCGGCUCAUUAAGUAGGGUGUGAAAGCCCCCGGCUCAACCGGGGAAUUGCGCUCUAAACUGAUGAGCUCGAGUGAGAUAGGGGUGUGUGGAACUUCCGGUGGAGCGGUGAAAUGUGUUGAUAUCGGAAGGAACGCCGGUGGCGAAAGCGACACACUGGGUCUCAACUGACGCUGAGGCACGAAAGCCAGGGGAGCAAACGGG
Molecule: ribosomal RNA, 253 nt
Filed under: uncultured bacterium
Lineage: Bacteria
Also listed under: 1 other name
Description: partial 16S ribosomal RNA
Rfam family: Bacterial small subunit ribosomal RNA
Source: RNAcentral